This 614-nucleotide ribosomal RNA is filed under the name uncultured bacterium. RNAcentral's name for it is "bacterial SSU rRNA". It matches the Rfam family "Bacterial small subunit ribosomal RNA", at positions 125 to 731 of the family's 1533-position model. The record is from RNAcentral.
UCUGCCUAGUAGUGGGGGAUAACUUGCCGAAAGGUAAGCUAAUACCGCAUACGUCCUAUGGGAGAAAGCAGGGGACUCUUCGGAACCUUGCGCUAUUAGAUGAGCCUAGGUCGGAUUAGUUAGUUGGUGAGGUAAUGGCUCACCAAGACCGCGAUCCGUAACUGGUCUGAGAGGAUGAUCAGUCACACUGGAACUGAGACACGGUCCAGACUCCCACGGGAGGCAGCAGUGGGGAAUAUUGGACAAUGGGCGGAAGCCUGAUCCAGCCAUGCCGCGUGUGUGAAGAAGGCCUUCGGGUUGUAAAGCACUUUAAUUUGGGAGGAAGGGCUUACGGUUAAUACCCGCUAAGUUUUGACGUUACCAAAAGAAUAAGCACCGGCUAACUUCGUGCCAGCAGCCGCGGUAAUACGAAGGGUGCGAGCGUUAAUAGGAAUUACUGGGCGUAAAGCGCGCGUAGGUGGUUCGUUAAGUUAGGAGUGAAAGCCCCGGGCUCAACCUGGGAAUUGCUUCUAAAACUGGCGAGCUAGAGUACGGUAGAGGGUGGUGGAAUUUCCUGUGUAGCGGUGAAAUGCGUAGAUAUAGGAAGGAACAUCAGUGGCGAAGGCGACCACCUG